AGCAGUCGCCGCGGUAAUACGUAGGUGGCAAGCGUUGUCCGGAAUUAUUGGGCGUAAAGGGCUCGCAGGCGGUUUCUUAAGUCUGAUGUGAAAGCCCCCGGCUCAACCGGGGAGGGUCAUUGGAAACUGGGAAACCUGAGUGCAGAAGAGGAGAGUGGAAUUCCACGUGUAGCGGUGAAAUGCGUUGAGAUGUGGAGGAACACCAGUGGCGAAGGCGACUCUCUGGUCUGUAACUGACGCUGAGGAGCGAAAGCGUGGGGAGCGAACAGGAUUAGAUACCCGUGUAGUCCCUGUCUCUUAUAC
RNAcentral lists this ribosomal RNA (303 nucleotides) under uncultured bacterium. RNAcentral's name for it is "partial 16S ribosomal RNA". It matches the Rfam family "Bacterial small subunit ribosomal RNA", at positions 507 to 807 of the family's 1533-position model. The record is from RNAcentral.